UUUGGAUGUGAAGAGAUCAACACAAUACUUGAUGGAGUAUCAGAAUCAGUACAUGUUUAAUGAAGCACCGGUAGGGGAUGGUGAUGAAGAUGAUGCCAAUGCUAUGCUUUCUUGAAAGUAAAUCUGCUGCAGCAAUCAUACAUUUGUGUAACAAUGACAAGCUUUCAAUUGUGCCAAUGUAGGAUCAUGUUAUCAGGCGCUGAACUGAAAUGAAUGGAGAUCCAGAAUUCAUCAUGUAUGAUAUUCGGUGAACCAAAUAGUGAUGGUAUGCCUCUGUUUUGAGAUAUCAAGCGUGCUCUAAAUGUGCUAAAUUUAAAUGCACGAUGUGUGGGGAAUGGACUUAUACUGAAACCAUGCAAGGAUUGUAUCACUUAGAAAUGUCAGAUCAGUUAGAUUUGUUAUGAACUUAAUGUUGGAAUUUAGGUAAUUCAACCAUUUUCAUAUCUUUUUUUAGUAUUCUAUUUUUCUAUUGUCCUUCAUCUUCCCAAAUAAAAAAAAAAAA
Molecule: unclassified non-coding RNA, 502 nt
Filed under: Hevea brasiliensis (rubber tree)
Lineage: Eukaryota; Viridiplantae; Streptophyta; Magnoliopsida; Malpighiales; Euphorbiaceae
Source: RNAcentral